This 477-nucleotide ribosomal RNA is filed under the name uncultured anaerobic ammonium-oxidizing bacterium. RNAcentral's name for it is "bacterial SSU rRNA". It matches the Rfam family "Bacterial small subunit ribosomal RNA", at positions 365 to 832 of the family's 1533-position model. The record is from RNAcentral.
UUCGCAAUGCCCGAAAGGGUGACGAAGCGACGCCGCGUGGGUGAGGAAGGCCCUCGGGUUGUAAAGCCCUGUCAGGAGUUAAGAAAUGUAGAUACGCUAAUAUCGUAUCUAUUUGACAAAGGCUCCAAAGGAAGCCACGGCUAACUCUGUGCCAGCAGCCGCGGUAAUACAGAGGUGGCAAGCGUUGUUCGGAAUUAUUGGGCGUAAAGAGCACGUAGGUGGAUUUGUAAGUCAGAUGUGAAAGCCUUCUGUUCAACGGAAGAAUUGCAUCUGAAACUACAAACCUUGAGUAUAGGAGGGGAGAAUGGAACUUCUGGUGGAGCGGUGAAAUGCGUAGAUAUCAGAAGGAACGUCGGCGGCGAAAGCGACUCUCUGGCCUAUUACUGACACUGAGUGUGCGAAAGUUAGGGGAGCAAACGGGAUUAGAUACCCCGGUAGUCCUAACUGUAAACGAUGGGCACUAAGUAGAGGGGUUUU